Molecule: long non-coding RNA, 455 nt
Filed under: Apteryx rowi (Okarito brown kiwi)
Lineage: Eukaryota; Metazoa; Chordata; Aves; Apterygiformes; Apterygidae
Description: lncRNA (ENSARWG00000008159.1)
Rfam family: Histone 3' UTR stem-loop (bases 122-167)
Source: RNAcentral
CAGACCGCCGUGCGGCUGCUGCUGCCUGGCGAGCUGGCCAAGCAUGCCGUCUCUGAGGGCACCAAGGCCGUCACCAAGUACACCAGCUCCAAGUAGAGCGUUCUGGACCAUCAGUUUUAACCCAAAGGCUCUUUUAAGAGCCACCCACUUUUUCAUUAAAAGGGUUGUAUGAUCUCUAUAAGAAGAGCAGAGAAAAAAAUAAAAAAGACAUCCAGAAUGUUUUCACUGUGUGCAUUUACAGUCUAUUUACCGAAGGCUUACAGGAGUUACAGAGUUCUCCUGAAGUCGGGCGCCUGAGCUGUAGCCCUCAGGGGGAUUUUGCUGGCUAUCCCCAGGUUUGCCCGGAAUGGCCUGUGGCAAUUUGGACUGACUGCACAAAGGGGAACACAGAUUAAAGUUACAAGGUCCUUUUCAAGUGGAACAGACAAAAUAGGCCUAGUAUCUUCAAACAGAAG